Gallus gallus (chicken) is the source of this 608-nucleotide long non-coding RNA. Lineage: Eukaryota; Metazoa; Chordata; Aves; Galliformes; Phasianidae. The record is from Ensembl.
GUGAAGAACAAUGCUUUCUGGGGAUGUAUUUUGUGUAAAUUCCCAGAGGGGGUAACUAACUAAGGUAUCAGAAGAAAAACAGCCUUUUCUUGUAUUUUACCAUCACUGACAAUUUUGUUAGACAGUAGUUUUUACAUAUUGGCAACGCCAUUUGGUUUGACCUUUGUAGCAAAAAUGCUAAGUCAAGGCCUGAAACAGUAUGCACCUGAUGGGAGGGCAGGGCCAACCCAAGGGUACUCAGCUGCAUGCAGUGCACCUGAGUGACUGCAAGGGGUGCAGCUAGGAUCCACCCCCUCCCAGACCUCAUUUAAGGGUUGGCAGUGGAGGUAAGAGUGUUUUCCUGGAGAUCCCUGUCUACUUCAUGCUUUCUGAGGGGAGGUGAUAUGAGAUAACCAGCAUGGUUUCACCAAAGGCAAGUCCUGCCUGACCGAUCUUGUCUCUUUUUUUUGAUGCCAUAACUGCAUCAGUGGAAAAGGAAGAACCAGUGAAGUGAGACCUCUGACACAUUCCCCCGUAACAUCCUUCUCUCCAAAUUGAAAAGGUACACAUUUGAUGGGUUGGCUGUUUGAUGGACAAGGAACUGGUUAUUAGUUGUACUCAAAGAGUGG